GGAGACGUCGCAUAGUGGCCUAGUGCGCUCGCUUGGAAAGCGAGUAGGGAUAAAACCCUCGCGAGUUCAAAUCUCGCCGUCUCCG
This 85-nucleotide transfer RNA is filed under the name bacterium. RNAcentral describes it as "tRNA-Ser". It matches the Rfam family "tRNA". Rfam says of the family: Transfer RNA (tRNA) molecules are approximately 80 nucleotides in length. Their secondary structure includes four short double-helical elements and three loops (D, anti-codon, and T loops). Further hydrogen bonds mediate the characteristic L-shaped molecular structure. tRNAs have two regions of fundamental functional importance: the anti-codon, which is responsible for specific mRNA codon recognition, and the 3' end, to which the tRNAs corresponding amino acid is attached (by aminoacyl-tRNA synthetases). tRNAs cope with the degeneracy of the genetic code in two manners: having more than one tRNA (with a specific anti-codon) for a particular amino acid; and 'wobble' base-pairing, i.e. permitting non-standard base-pairing at the 3rd anti-codon position. The record is from RNAcentral.